RNAcentral lists this ribosomal RNA (253 nucleotides) under uncultured bacterium. Its description in RNAcentral is "partial 16S ribosomal RNA". It matches the Rfam family "Bacterial small subunit ribosomal RNA", at positions 524 to 776 of the family's 1533-position model. The record is from RNAcentral.
UACAGAGGGUGCGAGCGUUAAUCGGAAUUACUGGGCGUAAAGCGCGCGUAGGCGGCUUUGCAAGUCGGGUGUGAAAUCCCCAGGCUUAACCUGGGAACUGCAUUCGAGACUGCAUUGCUAGAGUAUGGGAGAGGGAAGUGGAAUUUCCGGUGUAGCGGUGAAAUGCGCAGAUAUCAGGAAGAACACCCGUGGCGAAGGCGGCUCUCUGGAACGCAACUGACGCUGAGACGCGAAAGCGUGGGGAGCAAACAGG